AGCGAACGCUGGCGGCAUGCCUAACACAUGCAAGUCGAACGAAGCCUUCGGGCUUAGUGGCGCACGGGUGCGUAACGCGUGGGAAUCUGCCCUUUGGUUCGGAAUAACAGUUGGAAACGACUGCUAAUACCGGAUGAUGACGAAAGUCCAAAGAUUUAUCGCCAGAGGAUGGGCCCGCGUAGGAUUAGCUAGUUGGUGUGGUAAAGGCGCACCAAGGCGACGAUCCUUAGCUGGUCUGAGAGGAUGAUCAGCCACACUGGGACUGAGACACGGCCCAGACUCCUACGGGAGGCAGCAGUGGGGAAUAUUGGACAAUGGGCGAAAGCCUGAUCCAGCAAUGCCGCGUGAGUGAUGAAGGCCCUAGGGUUGUAAAGCUCUUUUACCCGGGAUGAUAAUGACAGUACCGGGAGAAUAAGCCCCGGCUAACUCCGUGCCAGCCGCCGCCGUAA
Molecule: ribosomal RNA, 449 nt
Filed under: uncultured bacterium
Lineage: Bacteria
Description: partial 16S ribosomal RNA
Rfam family: Bacterial small subunit ribosomal RNA
Source: RNAcentral